This 482-nucleotide ribosomal RNA is filed under the name uncultured bacterium. Its description in RNAcentral is "bacterial SSU rRNA". It matches the Rfam family "Bacterial small subunit ribosomal RNA", at positions 30 to 507 of the family's 1533-position model. The record is from RNAcentral.
AUUGAACGCUGGCGGUAUGCUUAACACAUGCAAGUCGAACGGUAGCAGCUCUUCGGAGGCUGACGAGUGGCGGACGGGUGAGUAACGCGUAGGAAUCUGCCUGUUAGUGGGGGACAACUUAGGGAAACUUAAGCUAAUACCGCAUACGCCCUACGGGGGAAAGGAGGGGAUCUUCGGACCUUUCGCUAACAGAUGAGCCUGCGUAGGAUUAGCUAGUUGGUAGGGUAAAAGCCUACCAAGGCGACGAUCCUUAGCUGUUCUGAGAGGAAGAUCAGCCACACUGGGACUGAGACACGGCCCAGACUCCUACGGGAGGCAGCAGUGGGGAAUAUUGGGACAAUGGGCGAAAGCCUGAUCCAGCAAUACCGCGUGUGUGAAGAAGGCCUUAGGGUUGUAAAGCACUUUCAAUUGGAAGGAAAAAACCAGGGUCAAUACCCCUGGUCUUGACAUUACCUUUAGAAGAAGCACCGGCUAACUCCGUG